Molecule: long non-coding RNA, 207 nt
Filed under: Homo sapiens (human)
Lineage: Eukaryota; Metazoa; Chordata; Mammalia; Primates; Hominidae
Description: HSALNT0146369
Source: RNAcentral
UUGUCAGUGGAAAGGCAUAAGGCUGAGCUGAGACCAGUUGCUGGUGAAACUGGGCCAAUCUGGGGAGGGGAACAUCCUUGCCAGGGAGUUUCUGAGGGUCUGUUUUGUUUACCUUUCGUGCGGUGGAUUCUUUUUAACUCCGUCUACCUGGCGUUUUGUUAGAAAUGUCAGAUAGGAAAAUAAAAACCAUUUGAGUAAAAAAAAAAC